Molecule: long non-coding RNA, 1749 nt
Organism: Zonotrichia albicollis (white-throated sparrow)
Lineage: Eukaryota; Metazoa; Chordata; Aves; Passeriformes; Passerellidae
Source: Ensembl
AUUUUAAUUAGUACCUUUCCCCCCUCCCCCCAAACAGUUUUCUCCUAUGACCAGAAGUGGAAUUUCAUCUCACUCAGCUUUCUCUUCCUUGGUGUUUGUGAUGCAGUUCCAGUGCUAUCCGUGGCAAAGCAGGAAGGGACAUUACACUGUUCAGAUCACACUGUGGCCUUCUGGCUGCUGGAACCAAGACCUGCAGAGAAAGCAUGGGACGUGGUUUGGACUACAGACCCAGACUUCCUUCUCCUACAGGGAGCCACGGAGUCUUACUUGCUUUUGUUUUGGGAAUGGGAAUUCAGACUGAGCUUCAUAGAGGCCUUGUGUUUCAGACCUCCAGUGAAGCAUUCGAAGAGCCUGGAGCGGGCAUGUUCCUGCUGUGGCUGCCCAGGAGUUUGCUGGGCCUGCCUCUACCCCAUCCAUAGCUGCCACCAGAUGCCAGCAGACCAGUGGAACCCAAUGUCUCUCCUGCUAACAGCUGGAUCCAGAUCACAUAUGGAUGUGGUACAUCUUGUGGGCAAGCUCAAGGAAGAGAAAACAACAGCUCUCUAGUUGGGCAUGGAGCUCAGUCUCUGGGGCUACUGCAGGAAAACCAGCACCUUGGGGAACUCAGAUGUCCAGCUCUGAUACAGCAUUCCCUCAUGCAUCCAGGAUUUUUCUAAUGAUUAAUGCCUUAAUGCUAGUAUGUUGGUAAGGAAAAAAAAUCCCACAAAUAACAUAUUUUCCUUUUUUUUGGUAUUUUUUUUCUUCUUUUGUGUUCUUAAUAGCUGCUGGGAAGCAGAAAACAGCCACAUGUGAUUUUGUAUUUAAUAAUUCUGAUUAUCUUUACACCUCUUUUUCAUAUGAGCAUAUCUUUUUUUGCAACUUUCUUGUAAUUUAUCUUGAUUUUUUGGUCUACUUUUUAACAGGUUAUUCAUAUUCUGGCUUAGUUCUUUAUCUGAAUUUAAUAUAACAGUGUCCCCCAAUUUUAGAUAUUUGACUAGAAAAAGAUGGUUCUCUGCUAGUGUUAAGCCUGAUUACAUCUGAAUUUUAUUGCAUGGGAAAACUCUUUCAUAUAUAAACUCAAUCCCGCUAUUGGUAUUUCAAAUCUUUCUGUCUUAAAGCACUGCAGUAAUGCCCCAAGCCUGCAAUCAGACCCAUGUAAGGUAAACUACUCUAUUGACAACAUCCCCCUCAAGUCAGACAGCUCUCAACAUGCACCCACACCCAGCUGUAGAAGACAGAACACCUUUCAUAUUUAGAUUAAGCCCCAGACAGCACAAUCUUCCUAAAGCAAAAUGCCAUUGAUAGUCUUUGGCAAUAGCCUGCUAAAUAGCAAGGGCCAGUUUUUCAAUAUAAUUUUCCCCAUCACAGCAUCUUAACAGAAAUUAUUUCUCUUAUACAUCAAUCUUUAAAUGAGCAGCUUGGUUACAGAAAGUCUAAAGUCGUCAGUAAUAGUUCUGGUUCCAGGAUGACAGACUCUCAUACGUUUCACUAGCAACUUCUGAUACUGCCAAACAAACUCCAAGUUGUAGACCAGCUGUACAAGUCUUUUUUUAAAAAUACUGCACUAGUCAGUCAAUUUUGCAUUUUCAUUUUCUUCCUGAAAUGUCCUUAUGUAUGUAUAUUGAUGGAUUUUUAAAGGUUGUGUAUAUUAACUUUCACUGGCUAAAAAUUAUUUCUGACACUUUUUAGAAAAACAUUGACUUCUGUUCCCAGUCACAGCUUUUUGUUUAUUAAAAUAAAAAAUACAAAUUGGGAAAAAAAUUCUUUAUG